RNAcentral lists this small RNA (76 nucleotides) under Xanthomonas sacchari. Its description in RNAcentral is "sX9 sRNA". It matches the Rfam family "Xanthomonas sRNA sX9". The record is from RNAcentral. Lineage: Bacteria; Pseudomonadati; Pseudomonadota; Gammaproteobacteria; Lysobacterales; Lysobacteraceae.
AUGUACCACUCGUACACUGCGGUUCCUCAGCGCCGUCCGCACCCACCUGGCGACUGCUCGCUACGUUUCGUUCGCC